This is a small nucleolar RNA of Hevea brasiliensis (rubber tree), 94 nucleotides long. RefSeq annotates it as small nucleolar RNA snoR8a. NCBI's taxonomy places the organism in Eukaryota, Viridiplantae, Streptophyta, Magnoliopsida, Malpighiales, Euphorbiaceae. The transcript has a single exon. The record is from RefSeq and is a predicted model, not a curated record.
GGGGCUGCGAUGAUAAAAGUAAAAUUCCUCGUACUGAAAAUGCCCGAUUUGGGUAUGACAGACUCUUAUUUACACCCAUAGAAUCUGAGCUUCC